UACGGAGGGUGCAAGCGUUAUCCGGAUUCACUGGGUUUAAAGGGUGCGUAGGUGGGCAGGUAAGUCAGUGGUGAAAUCUCCGGGCUUAACUCGGAAACUGCCAUUGAUACUAUCUGUCUUGAAUACCGUGGAGGUUAGCGGAAUAUGUCAUGUAGCGGUGAAAUGCUUAGAUAUGACAUAGAACACCAAUUGCGAAGGCAGCUGGCUACACGAAUAUUGACACUGAUGCACGAAAGCGUGGGGAGCAAACAGG
RNAcentral lists this ribosomal RNA (253 nucleotides) under uncultured bacterium. RNAcentral's name for it is "partial 16S ribosomal RNA". It matches the Rfam family "Bacterial small subunit ribosomal RNA", at positions 524 to 776 of the family's 1533-position model. The record is from RNAcentral.